Molecule: long non-coding RNA, 644 nt
Filed under: Homo sapiens (human)
Lineage: Eukaryota; Metazoa; Chordata; Mammalia; Primates; Hominidae
Description: HSALNT0331427
Source: RNAcentral
GACAAGAGCAAGAUUCUGUCUCAAAAAUAAAAUUUUAAAAGUUCUGCAAUUCUGCAUAAAGAUAAAUGCUAUUUGUUCCUGGGGGCUGGGGUCACCAGGGAGGCUUCCUGGAGGAGGAGGCAGGGCUGAGGAAUGGAUGGCAGCAGAGAGUAUUUGUGGGUGAGGCUAUGGUGCUGCUGGAGAGGCAGGGUGUGGCAGCUUGGGCUGGGGCCAGCAGUGAGCUUGGAAUUCCCCAGGGCUUUCCAGAAGCCAGAAGGCCGGGGCGGAGUGGGUUGUCCAAGAGCUUGUCUUGUCCUCUUGCCCUGGCCACAGCCGGGAAGCCCUGGGCAGGCGCCCGUGGAUAGCUGGCACGCUCAGCCUUUGGUGGAGAACUGAGAAAGUCUGAAGCAGGAAGGUGGAAAAACAUUUCGUGCUCAGGGAGGAAACGUCUUCACCCCGGUUUACAGGCAGAUCAAGAUACUGGCUCCGGUCAAAUACUGUGUUUCGACGUGAUUGACAGGCGAAGGCUUAAGGAAAAGGAAGAGGAGAAAAAAAGGGGAGGACGAUCAAGGAAAAGAGGAGAUAAAAGUGGACAACCCAGCCGGGCGCGGUGGCUCACGCCUGCCAUCCCAGCACUUUGGGAGGCGGAGGUGGGCGGAUCACGA